Molecule: ribosomal RNA, 225 nt
Filed under: uncultured Sporosarcina sp.
Lineage: Bacteria; Bacillati; Bacillota; Bacilli; Caryophanales; Caryophanaceae
Description: partial 16S ribosomal RNA
Rfam family: Bacterial small subunit ribosomal RNA
Source: RNAcentral
CGCGUAGGUGGCCAAUUAAGUCUGAUGUGAAAGCCCACGGCUCAACCGUGGAGGGUCAUUGGAAACUGGAGAACUUGAGUACAGAAGAGGAAAGCGGAAUUCCACGUGUAGCGGUGAAAUGCGUAGAGAUGUGGAGGAACACCAGUGGCGAAGGCGGCUUUCUGGUCUGUAACUGACGCUGAGGCGCGAAAGCGUGGGGAGCAAACAGGAUUAGAUACCCCAGUA